CGCCAUCGAAUGAGGCAAGACUACCCGCUGAACUUAAGCAUAUCACUAAGCGGAGGAGAAGAAACUAACCAGGAUGCCCCUAGUAAUGGCGAAUGAAGCGGGCUGAGCUCACGCUGCCAAUCUGGAGGCCUCGCGUAUGCAGCGCCCCCCGAAUUGUGGUCUAGAGAGGCGUUAUCGGCCGCGCCCGCCGCUCAAGUCCCUUGGAACAGGGUGUCGGAGAGGGUGAGAAUCCCGUACCGUGGCGGGUUGCGCCCUUACGAUGCGUCCUCGUCGAGUCGGGUUGCUUGGGAUUGCAGCUUGAAUUGGGUGGUAAAUUCCAUCUAAAGCUAAAUACUGGCGAGAGACCGAUAGCGAACAAGUACCGUGAGGGAAAGAUGCAAAGAACUUUGAAAAGAGAGUCAAAGAGUGCUUGAAAUCGGUAGGAGGAAACCCGGAUGGGCCCGGCUUCGGCGCGCCGACUCAGCCUGGGGUUCUCCCCAGGUGCACUUCUGCGCGCCGGGUCAGCCGCGCCUCGGCGCCGCGCCUCAACCCGGGAGCGGGGCUUUACGGCCAGCUCCCGUCCUGGCGCGGCCCGGGGCCCGGCUGACGGAACGGGCCCCUCCGACCCGUCUAGAAACACGGACCAAGGAGUCUGACACGUGUGCGAGUACCCGGGUGGCAAGCCCGCGUGCGGAAUGAAAGUGAAGGGCAUGCCCUGCCAACCGACCUUGACCUGCUGUGAGGGGUUUGAGUGGAGCACACCUGUCGGGACCCGAAAGAUGGUGAACUAUGCCUGGGUAGGGUGAAGCCAGAGGAAACUCUGGUGGAGGCUCGUAGCGAUACUGACGUGCAAAUCGUUCGUCGAAUCUGGGCAUAGGGGCGAAAGACUAAUCGAACCAUCUAGUAGCUGGUUCCCUCCGAAGUUUCCCUCAGGAUAGCUUGAACGCAACGGUUUUGUCAGGUAAAGCGAAUGAUUAGAGGCCUGUGGGCUGAAACAGCUUGCACCUAUUCUCAAACUUUAAAUGGGCAAGAGGCCCGGGAUGCUUGAGUGAUCCCGGGCGGCGAACGGCGCGUUCAAAGUGGGCCAUUUUUGGUAAGCAGAACUGGCGAUGCGGGAUGAACCGAACGCCGCGCUAAGGUACCCAAGUGUCCGCUCAUCAGAUACCACAAAAGGCGUUGGUACCUCCAGACAGCAGGACGGUGGCCAUGGAAGUCGGAACCCGCUAAGGAGUGUGUAACAACUCACCUGCCGAAGGUACUAGCCCUGAAAAUGGAUGGCGCUCAAGCGGACCACCGAUGCGCGGCCGCCGGCGCGAGCGCGAGGCGCCGGCGAGUAGGAGGGCGCGGGGCUCGCGGCGCAGCCUUGGGCGCGAGCCUGGGUGAAGCGGGCCCCGGUGCAGAUCUUGGUGGUAGUAGCAAAUAUUCAAAUGAGAACUUUGAAGACUGAAGUGGAGAAAGGUUCCGUGUGAACAGCAGUUGGACACGGGUGAGCCGACCCUAAGAGACAGGAAAACUCCGCCGAACGCGGCUGGUUCUGUCAGCCCGUCCGUCGAAAGGGAAUCGGGUUAAUAUUCCCGAGCCAGCGCGUGGAUGGUGGGCGGCGACGCGAACGAACCCGGAGACGCCGGCGGGAGCCCUGGGAAGAGUUCUCUUUUCUUCUUAACUGCCUCCUGCCCUGGAAUCGGUUUAGCCGGAGCGAGGGCUACACGGCAGGCAAAGCACCCUAAGUCUUGGGGUGUCCGGCGCGCUCCCGACGGCCCGUGAAAAUCCGGGGGAGCGGUUCGUUCUCACGCCUGGUCGUACUCAUAACCGCAUCAGGUCUCCAAGGUGAACAGCCUCUAGUCGAUAGAGCAAUGUAGGUAAGGGAAGUCGGCAAAAUGGUUCCGCAACCUCGGGAGAAGGAAUGGCUCUGAAGGCUGGGCGCAGGGGUCCUAGGCUCGAGGCCGGCUGGCUGCGCGGGGACUACGGCCUCACGGCUGCGGAUCCCGCGCGGCCGUCCGGCGGACGGCCUAGGAGCGCUCCGGCUCUCCCUGCGCGACGAACAGCCGCUUCAGAACUGGCGCGGACAAGGGGAAUCCGACUGUUUAAUUAAAACAAAGCAUUGCGAUGGCCCGCGAGGGUGCUGACGCAAUGUGAUUUCUGCCCAGUGCUCUGAAUGUCAAAGUGAAGAAAUUCAACCAAGCGCGGGUAAACGGCGGGAGUAACUAUGACUCUCUUAAGGUAGCCAAAUGCCUCGUCAUCCAAUUAGUGACGCGCAUGAAUGGAUUCGUGAGAUUCCCACUGUCCCUAUCUACUGUCUAGCGAAACCACAGCCAAGGGAACGGGCUUGGAAGAAUCAGCGGGGAAAGAAGACCCUGUUGAGCUUGACUCUAGUCUGUUACUGUGGAACGACUUGAUGGGUGUAGAAUAUGCGGGAGGGGCAACCCGACAGUGAAAUACCGCAACCGUCAACGUUGUUUUACUUACUCGGUGGCGCGGAGGGAGGCUCGCCUCACUUCUGGAUCCAAGCCGCUUCGUGCGCGCGAUCCGCGUCGGGGACACUAACAGGUGGGGAGUUUGGCUGGGGCGGCACGUCUGUUAAAAAAUAACGCAGGCGCCCGAUUUUGAGCUCAAUGAGAACAGAAAUCUCAUGUGGACCGAAAGGGGAAAAGCUCGGUUGAUUUUGAUUUUCAGUACGAAUACAAACCGCGAAAGCGUGGCCUAUCGAUCCUCUCGUCUUUGGGAAUUUCAAGCUAGAGGUGUCAGAAAAGUUACCACAGGGAUAACUGGCUUGUGGCUGCCAAGCGUUCAUAGCGACGUAGCUUUUUGAUCCUUCGAUGUCGGCUCUUCCUAUCACUGCCUCGCAGCGGGGGCCAAAUGCAGGAUUGUUCACCCACCAACAGGGAACGUGAGCUGGGUUUAGACCGUCGUGAGACAGGUUAGUUUUACCCUACUGCUGUCUGUUUUUCUACGGUAAUUUGGUUCAGUACGAGAGGAACCACCAAUUCGCAUCAUCGGUAUAGCCGCCGCCGGAAACGGCGAUGCGGCGAAGCUGCCAUGCGCCGGAUUAUAACUGAACGCCUCUAAGUUAGAAUCCAUGCCGGAAGGAAAGCCACCUACCGGCCCGGGGACGCCACGAGCAACGGUAGCACUGCCUGAGCCGCGAGCGACCACAAUUCACGGACCCGGGCCGACGAAUCCCUUGCAGACGACUUGAAUAAGGAACGGGGUAUUGUACGCGGCAGAGUGGCCUUGUUGCCACGAUCCGCUGAGAUUCAGCCUUGGUUCUGACGAUUUGU
Molecule: ribosomal RNA, 3257 nt
Filed under: Emiliania huxleyi
Lineage: Eukaryota; Haptophyta; Isochrysidales; Noelaerhabdaceae
Description: Eukaryotic large subunit ribosomal RNA
Rfam family: Eukaryotic large subunit ribosomal RNA
Source: Rfam by way of RNAcentral